Molecule: ribosomal RNA, 445 nt
Filed under: uncultured bacterium
Lineage: Bacteria
Description: partial 16S ribosomal RNA
Rfam family: Bacterial small subunit ribosomal RNA
Source: RNAcentral
GUGAGGAAUAUUGGACAAUGGGCGCAAGCCUGAUCCAGCCAUGCCGCGUGCAGGAAGACGCAUCUAUGGUGUGUAAACUGCUUUUGUACGGGAAGAAACACUCCCUCGUGAGGGAGCUUGACGGUACCGUAAGAAUAAGGAUCGGCUAACUCCGUGCCAGCAGCCGCGGUAAUACGGAGGAUCCAAGCGUUAUCCGGAAUCAUUGGGUUUAAAGGGUCCGUAGGCGGUUUAAUAAGUCAGUGGUGAAAGCCCAUCGCUCAACGAUGGAACGGCCAUUGAUACUGUUAGACUUGAAUUACAAGGAAGUAACUAGAAUAUGUAGUGUAGCGGUGAAAUGCUUAGAUAUUACAUGGAAUACCAAUUGUGAAGGCAGGUUACUACUUGUGGAUUGACGCUGAUGGACGAAAGCGUGGGGAGCGAACAGGAUUAGAUACCCUAGUAGUCC